AUUGAACGCUGGCGGCAUGCCUUACACAUGCAAGUCGAACGGCAGCACGGGAGCAAUCCUGGUGGCGAGUGGCGAACGGGUGAGUAAUGCAUCGGAACGUGCCAUUGAGUGGGGGAUAACGUAGCGAAAGUUACGCUAAUACCGCAUAUUCUGUGCGCAGGAAAGCAGGGGAUCGCAAGGCCUCACGCUCACGGAGCGGCCGAUGUCGGAUUAGCUAGUUGGUGGGGUAAAGGCUUACCAAGGCGACGAUCCGUAGCUGGUCUGAGAGGAUGAUCAGCCACACUGGGACUGAGACACGGCCCAGACUCCUACGGGAGGCAGCAGUGGGGAAUUUUGGACAAUGGGGGCAACCCUGAUCCAGCCAUGCCGCGUGCGGGAAGAAGG
Molecule: ribosomal RNA, 384 nt
Filed under: uncultured bacterium
Lineage: Bacteria
Description: bacterial SSU rRNA
Rfam family: Bacterial small subunit ribosomal RNA
Source: RNAcentral